GACGUAGGGCGCGAGCGUUGUCCGGAUUUAUUGGGCGUAAAGAGCUCGUAGGCGGCUUGUCGCGUCGAAUGUGAAAUCUCGGGGCUCAACUCCGAGCUUGCAUUCGAUACGGGCAGGCUAGAGUUCGGUAGGGGAGACUGGAAUUCCUGGUGUAGCGGUGAAAUGCGCAGAUAUCAGGAGGAACACCGGUGGCGAAGGCGGGUCUCUGGUCCGAUACUGACGCUGAGGAGCGAAAGCGUGGGGAGCGAACAGG
RNAcentral lists this ribosomal RNA (253 nucleotides) under uncultured bacterium. RNAcentral describes it as "partial 16S ribosomal RNA". It matches the Rfam family "Bacterial small subunit ribosomal RNA", at positions 524 to 776 of the family's 1533-position model. The record is from RNAcentral.